GUCAAUAGAUAUAUCAUACUGAACGUGCACUAUCUUGUCUGAUCUUGGAAGCAAAGCAGGGUUGGGCCCGGUUAGUAUUUGGAUGGGAGACAUCGAAUGGAAACCACAAAAUUAUUUAAA
RNAcentral lists this ribosomal RNA (120 nucleotides) under Cebus imitator (Panamanian white-faced capuchin). Lineage: Eukaryota; Metazoa; Chordata; Mammalia; Primates; Cebidae. The record is from RNAcentral.